CCUCCGAGCUCCGGGAGCGCCCAGGACCUGCCCUCAGCACAAAAUGGAAGGGCGCCCAAAAACUCGGCACUUCAGCACCAGCAGAAACCGCACAAACACACCCCAAAGCACUUCUGGGGAUAUGGAAAUUAAGGACAGUAACCAAAAACUCCGAAAAACCCCUGAAGACAACGAGCCAACUUAAAACUUGAACAACAAACUGACUUUGACGAUCGGGAAGGAGCCCCUCUACCUUACCAGCACUACAAAUCAUCUCCGAAGCGUCACCAUAACCUAAGAAGAGCCAACUGAGAGCAAAAACCCUAGUCGACGAGCCCAGAAGCGUCUUCCCAGGCACGCCCGUGAGGACGGAAGCCCCAGUUCUGCUGCACAGCAAGACUGACUACUCUGCAUCGCCACAGGGAGCAGCGGCGGUGUGCGCGACCCCUCGGGCCCCCACCCAGAGCUGGUCACUUCAAUAAAGGCAUUCAAAAG
Lonchura striata (white-rumped munia) is the source of this 474-nucleotide non-coding RNA. The record is from RefSeq and is a predicted model, not a curated record. Lineage: Eukaryota; Metazoa; Chordata; Aves; Passeriformes; Estrildidae.